GGUUAUGAGGGUGAGCUGGUCGGGGAUAUCUGUGGCCUCGUUGAUCGCCAGAGUUGAACUGGCUGAUUUGGCUGGCCAGGCUUGUGUCCCUUCCUCCUUCACCACCCGAGUGCCUCCCCGCAGAAGCUGCAUGCUCUGUGAAAGAGGACCUUCCAGGGGGAGAAGAGGACGAUUCUUUGGUCAAAGACUAGCUGCACUCCCCUGCUACACCCUCCAAACUCUCAAGGUCCAUUUGCAGAACACAGGGUAGUCAAGCUUCUAAGACUCCAGACACAUCCAAAUGAAGUGCUGCAUGUGGCAGUCUGCCCUUAUGU
RNAcentral lists this small nuclear RNA (314 nucleotides) under Vulpes vulpes (red fox). RNAcentral describes it as "7SK RNA (ENSVVUG00000021497.1)". It matches the Rfam family "7SK RNA". From Rfam's summary of the family: 7SK was discovered as an abundant small nuclear RNA in the mid-70s but a possible function has only recently been suggested. Two independent studies have found that 7SK RNA binds the CDK9/cyclin T complex (known as elongation factor P-TEFb). Lineage: Eukaryota; Metazoa; Chordata; Mammalia; Carnivora; Canidae. The record is from Rfam by way of RNAcentral.